Molecule: non-coding RNA, 261 nt
Organism: Vicia faba (fava bean)
Lineage: Eukaryota; Viridiplantae; Streptophyta; Magnoliopsida; Fabales; Fabaceae
Source: the annotation of a GenBank genome assembly
AUGGAAAAAUCCCUCGAGUCCAGUUUCGUUCGCGACGAAAGCGAGCGUCCGAAAGUCUCUUACAAUGACUUCAGCAAUGACAUUCCAAUCAUUUCUCUAGCCGGAAUAGACGACGUCGAUGGCCGAAGAACACAGAUUUGCCACAAGAUUGCAGAAGCUUGCGAGAACUGGGGUAUCUUCCAGAAGAGAAGCUUCAGUUUGACAUGUCCGGUGGUAAGAAGGGUGGCUUCAAUGUGUCUAGUCAUCUCUAAGGAGAAGUAG